UGGGGAAUAUUGCACAAUGGGCGCAAGCCUGAUGCAGCCAUGCCGCGUGUAUGAAGAAGGCCUUCGGGUUGUAAAGUACUUUCAGCAGUGAGGAAGGUGGAUGUGUUAAUAGCGCAUUCAUUUGACGUUAGCUGCAGAAGAAGCACCGGCUAACUCCGUGCCAGCAGCCGCGGUAAUACGGAGGGUGCGAGCGUUAAUCGGAAUUACUGGGCGUAAAGCGCAUGCAGGUGGUUUGUUAAGUCAGAUGUGAAAGCCCGGGGCUCAACCUCGGAAUUGCAUUUGAAACUGGCAGACUAGAGUACUGUAGAGGGGGGUAGAAUUUCAGGUGUAGCGGUGAAAUGCGUAGAGAUCUGAAGGAAUACCGGUGGCGAAGGCGGCCCCCUGGACAGAUACUGACACUCAGAUGCGAAAGCGUGGGGAGCAAACAGGAUUAGAUACCCCCGUAGUCC
RNAcentral lists this ribosomal RNA (449 nucleotides) under uncultured prokaryote. Its description in RNAcentral is "bacterial SSU rRNA". It matches the Rfam family "Bacterial small subunit ribosomal RNA", at positions 355 to 796 of the family's 1533-position model. The record is from RNAcentral.